CUUGGUCAUUUAGAGGAAGUAAAAGUCGUAACAAGGUUUCCGUAGGUGAACCUGCGGAAGGAUCAUUACCUAGAGUUGUAGGCUUUGCCUGCUAUCUCUUACCCAUGUCUUUUGAGUACCUUACGUUUCCUCGGUGGGUUCGCCCACCGAUUGGACAAACUUAAACCCUUUGCAGUUGAAAUCAGCGUCUGAAAAAACUUAAUAGUUACAACUUUCAACAACGGAUCUCUUGGUUCUGGCAUCGAUGAAGAACGCAGCGAAAUGCGAUAAGUAGUGUGAAUUGCAGAAUUCAGUGAAUCAUCGAAUCUUUGAACGCACAUUGCGCCCCUUGGUAUUCCAUGGGGCAUGCCUGUUCGAGCGUCAUUUGUACCUUCAAGCUCUGCUUGGUGUUGGGUGUUUGUCUCCUGUAGACUCGCCUUAAAACAAUUGGCAGCCGGCGUAUUGAUUUCGGAGCGCAGUACAUCUCGCGCUUUGCACUCAUAACGACGACAUCCAAAAGUACAUUUUUACACUCUUGACCUCGGAUCAGGUAGGGAUACCCGCUGAACUUAAGCAUAUCAAUAAGCGGAGGA
This 572-nucleotide ribosomal RNA is filed under the name uncultured fungus. RNAcentral's name for it is "eukaryotic LSU rRNA". The stretch from base 210 to 363 matches the Rfam family "5.8S ribosomal RNA". The record is from RNAcentral. Lineage: Eukaryota; Fungi.